AAAUUUUAUUUUAUAAUUAUACAUAUAUAUAAUUAUAUACAUAUAUAAUUAUAUUAAUUUUUAUUUAUUAUAAUUUAUUAUUCACUAAGUUACAAAAUAGACAAUAAUAUCACUUCGGAGGUAAGUAUAACGGGGGUGGAGAGCUACACUUUUUGCGUCAUCUACUUCCUACCAAACAACUAACAGAACUCACAGAACUGCACUUCCACAGUUAUAAACAAACAGCGGAAGUGAAUUAAUUUUCACCUAAACUCCACUUCAACCCAAAGUCCACUUCCACCCCAAAUCUAUUUACGUUGAAACAAACAUGCAGGGUUAGGGUUUUCAUCAGCCUCUACAUAUAUAGAUAAGGUUAAUUGCAUAAAAGUCCCCGCAAACGUGGUGAAUUGCAAAUAUAUCCCUGCAAAUUUUAACUUUCAUAAGUUAUUCCUGCAAAAGUCUUAAUGUAUUCAGAUAUGUCCUUCUAGUUAGGAUCCGUUAGAGAACUGUUUACUUUUUAAUAGUCGGUUCGUGAAAUGAUAUUUUUGCCCUCACAAAUAUGUCCCUCCGAAAGCCCUCUCAAUUUUUGCCCUUUUUCUCUUUCUCUUCCUUCUCAAGCUGCGGGAGCGGGCGGCAGCAGCGACGAAAGCGGACGAGGUAGAGGCCCGCAGCGGUGACGCGGAAGGUAAAGGUGUGGCCGAUUCGGAUGCGCUCAUGACGACAGCUCACGCGAGCACGACGAUUGGAUCAUCGACGACGACGACGACAAAGAAAAAGAAGGAGGAGAAAAGGAGGAAAAGGAGGAUACAAAGAAGAAGAGGAAGAAGAAGAAGUAGAAGAGGAAGAGGAAGAGGAAGAAGAAGAAGAAAAAGAAGAAGGUUAAAAUUAUUAAUUCACCUUAUUAAUUAAUCAUGGUUAAGUAUUUUACCUGUGGUGAACUAAAUUUCUCUAACGGAUCCUAACGGCAGGGACAUAUCUGAAUACAUUAGGACUUUUGCAGGAAUAACUUAUAAAAGUUGAACUUUGUAGGGAUAUAUAUGUAAUUAAGGGGACCUAUAUGCAAUUAACCUAUAUAACACAUAUAUAUGGAGAGUUCGGCUACUAUACGCUUAUGAAUACGAUCGCCUUCGUACUCAUAAGUCGUUUUUUAUGAUAGAGCUUCCGAAUCGACGAUCCAUACCGAUAAACAUUAUCUAGAGCAUUUAAAACCUUUCGAAAUCAAAUUUCAUAAUUUUUCGACAUCAUUUACCUUACGAUCAAAAGCUCACAAAAUUGACAAUUUUUAACGACCGGUAUGAGAUACUUGCUAGUUUAACAGUGUAAAAGAAUUGGAAUAGGUUGAAUUUUUGAUAGAAAAUUCUAUUCACUACCUAAAUAAAGAUCAAUAACUCCGAUCUUAAAUUGAAGGAUCCGAUCAUCCAUUUUUAGGACGUCAUUCGAUUUUGACCGUUCAUUUUAUGCUCGUUUGAUGGACUUUAUUAUGAUUUCAAAAAAUUACGAAAUUUAUUUUUUAGAAGUUUCAAAUACUCUAGAUCAUAUUUAACGGAGUGGAUCGUCGAUUCGGAAG
Molecule: long non-coding RNA, 1546 nt
Filed under: Ananas comosus (pineapple)
Lineage: Eukaryota; Viridiplantae; Streptophyta; Magnoliopsida; Poales; Bromeliaceae
Description: long non-coding RNA (ACOM_LNC044233)
Source: RNAcentral